This 750-nucleotide ribosomal RNA is filed under the name uncultured bacterium. Its description in RNAcentral is "bacterial SSU rRNA". It matches the Rfam family "Bacterial small subunit ribosomal RNA", at positions 43 to 783 of the family's 1533-position model. The record is from RNAcentral.
CAGGCCUAACACAUGCAAGUCGAGCGGACCAUUCCUUCGGGGAUGGUUAGCGGCGGACGGGUGAGUAACACGUAGGCAACCUGCCUGUAAGAUCGGGAUAACUACUGGAAACGGUAGCUAAGACCGGAUAGCUGGUUUCUCCGCAUGGGGGAAUCAUGAAACACGGGGCAACCUGUGGCUUACGGAUGGGCCUGCGGCGCAUUAGCUAGUUGGUGGGGUAACGGCCCACCAAGGCGACGAUGCGUAGCCGACCUGAGAGGGUGAUCGGCCACACUGGGACUGAGACACGGCCCAGACUCCUACGGGAGGCAGCAGUAGGGAAUCUUCCGCAAUGGGCGCAAGCCUGACGGAGCAACGCCGCGUGAGUGAUGAAGGUUUUCGGAUCGUAAAGCUCUGUUGCCAAGGAAGAACGCCUCGGAGAGUAACUGCUCUGAGGGUGACGGUACUUGAGAAGAAAGCCCCGGCUAACUACGUGCCAGCAGCCGCGGUAAUACGUAGGGGGCAAGCGUUGUCCGGAAUUAUUGGGCGUAAAGCGCGCGCAGGCGGUCUUUUAAGUUUGGUGUUUAAGCCCGGGGCUCAACCCCGGUUCGCACUGAAAACUGGGAGACUUGAGUGCAGGAGAGGAAAGCGGAAUUCCACGUGUAGCGGUGAAAUGCGUAGAGAUGUGGAGGAACACCAGUGGCGAAGGCGGCUUUCUGGACUGUAACUGACGCUGAGGCGCGAAAGCGUGGGGAGCAAACAGGAUUAGAU